Nematostella vectensis (starlet sea anemone) is the source of this 83-nucleotide non-coding RNA. The record is from Rfam. NCBI's taxonomy places the organism in Eukaryota, Metazoa, Cnidaria, Anthozoa, Actiniaria, Edwardsiidae.
GUUGCGGUUGCCUAGCGGUUAAGGCGUUGGAAUAGAAAUCCAAUGGGAUCUUCCCGCGCAGGUUCGAAUCCUUGUCCGCAACA